RNAcentral lists this ribosomal RNA (252 nucleotides) under uncultured bacterium. Its description in RNAcentral is "partial 16S ribosomal RNA". It matches the Rfam family "Bacterial small subunit ribosomal RNA", at positions 524 to 776 of the family's 1533-position model. The record is from RNAcentral.
UACAGAGGAUGCGAGCGUUAUCCGGAUUUAUUGGGUUUAAAGGGUGCGUAGGCGGACUGUCAAGUCAGCGGUAAAAUACGGGGGCUCAACCUCCGCCCGCCGUUGAAACUGACGGUCUUGAGUGGGCGAGAAGUAUGCGGAAUGCGUGGUGUAGCGGUGAAAUGCAUAGAUAUCACGCAGAACUCCGAUUGCGAAGGCAGCAUACCGGCGCCCAACUGACGCUGAAGCACGAAAGCGUGGGUAUCGAACAGG